This 273-nucleotide ribosomal RNA is filed under the name Triticum aestivum (bread wheat). RNAcentral describes it as "partial small subunit ribosomal RNA". Lineage: Eukaryota; Viridiplantae; Streptophyta; Magnoliopsida; Poales; Poaceae. The record is from RNAcentral.
AUGUUGGCGUAUCGUCUGAACUUGCCGCCAGACAACCGUAUCCACCCAGUCUUCCAUGUCUCGCAACUCAAGCCAUUUGUCGUUGACUACACUCCGGUCUUCGCUGAGCUGCCCAAGAUACCCGACCUCACGACCGCGGACCGCGUUCCGAUCGCCAUCCUGGACCGCUGCAUGAUGAAGAAAGGCCACGCCCCUGUCAUCCAAGGAAAGGUACAGUGGAGCACCAUGCCGCCGUCGUCUGCGACCUGGGAAGACUACUACGUGCUCCGGUAG